RNAcentral lists this long non-coding RNA (4679 nucleotides) under Cicer arietinum (chickpea). Its description in RNAcentral is "long non-coding RNA (CARI_LNC001426)". The record is from RNAcentral. Lineage: Eukaryota; Viridiplantae; Streptophyta; Magnoliopsida; Fabales; Fabaceae.
UUUUUGUUACCAAACAGAGCCUAAAGUUAUUAUCUUUACUAAAUUAAUAGCGUGUAGUUCUUCGCAAACUUGGCAACGAUGCGUUCCCGCGCCAGGAACCUCUCUCAUCCUCUAACGCUUUGCCCAUUUUGUUUUUGUUGGGCUCCUUUUUGGCAUAUUCUGCAGCAGAAGAGAUGAGUUUUUGUUAGAGAAGCAGAAUUUAAAUUUUUACUAUUUGUGGAACCUAUACGAAUAGGUUUGUAAUUUUAAUCUUUUGCAGAUCAUUUUAUGGGAUAUAUUGUGUAACAUUUCAUGUUAAUUAAGAAUCUGCGACUUCAGUAUCACAUUUUCUGAAGAAGAAAAAAAAUCAGAAAGGAAGUUUGGAAAAACAAAUGUGGAAUAGUAAAAUUUUGGUGCAAAAUUUGUAAACAGAGAUGAUUUUGAUUUUUUUAGUCUAAAAAAAAUUUCUUUCAAUUUAACCUUAUAAUUUAAAAUACUUUUAAUUUAAUUUCUAAUAAAAAAAAAUUGACAAAACGGUCAUAAAACAAGGGACUUAAAAGUGCAUUUUUAUCUUUUAAAAAGUUAUUGUUAUUCAUUGUACACUAUUUUUCUUCUAAAAUUUGUACAAAGAAUUACAAGCAUUUUUAAAAUGUAAAAAUGUAUUUUUUGAUUAUUUUUAAACGUACUUUUGAGAAAUUUUGUAGUUAGUAAAGGAAUGUGUACUUAAUUCAGUUCACAUAUAUUUAGUUUUCAUAAAUUUAAAAUUUUAUAGUAAAUAGAAGUACAAAUUGAAAAAGUAAAAAAAGGAAAGGAAAGGAAGUAAGGAGCAAAACCUUAGUCCAACCUCUGGUCUUCUCCUUCCGGUUUGAUUUUUAGUCCCUCUGUCCUUGUACUAUAUCAAUUUGUGUUGUAUUGUUUUUCUUGAAUUUGACUUCUCUAAAGUGAAACGUUUGUAAAGUGAGUAGAUUAAUACUUGAUAUUACAACUAUUACAACUAUCUAUGAUUGGUUAUGGAUGUACACAUAAUAUAAAUCAUUGAUUUAAUUUGAUUUAUAUUACUCACUAUAUUCUUUUAAAGUGAGUUGCUCAUUUUAGAGUAGUGAAAUCCAUUUUUCUUUGUAUCCAAUUUGUUUGUGUUAAGUUUGAAGGUUACAUGUGAUUGUAUUGUAACUCAGUGGUGGUUCUUUUCACACAUUGCAACUCUUCUAUAAUUUGAAAACUCAAAAUAAAGUGAUAAGUAAGUGUAUGAUUGGUGUUUGGUUUAGUUUCACAUUCAAUCUUAAACUGAAUUGUCAUUAAUUUUGCUUAUAAUUAUUAAUUUAGAGUUUAAAAUUUAAAGUUACUCUUUUAAAAUGUUUCAAGACACUACUUUUUUUUUUUUGGUGAGAUUCUAGUUUAUGUUUAUGUUUGCAUUCCUUAAACUAUUGAAGUUUUUGUUGUUGUUGAGACUAAUGGAGAUGCAUUGUUACUUAGUUUAAAUUAAUUUUACUGUGACAACCAAUUAGAAGAAUUUUUUACAGUUAUUCUUUUAAAAAAAGUUUUAUGAUUGAUUCAUGUGGCAGACAGAUGAAUGGCUAUUGGAUAACAGUUUAAAAUAAUUUUACACAAUCAGUGCUAUUCUAUUAAACUCAUGAAAUUAUAACCAACAAAAUAGUAACAGUGUAUGUUUCCUUUUCUUUUUUUGUUAAUGUUUAUGUUUACGAUCCUUAAGGUAUUUUAUGAUUCAGUUUCAGUUUAUGUUUUCAGUAUGAUUAUUUGCGAUCCUUAAGCUAUUGGAGGUUUUUAUCCUUCUUUUUCAUUUAUAGAUUGUUUGGUGAAAGUUUGCAUUUUCAAGUUGGAGGGUUUCUUAAGCUUAAAGAACUUGAUCUCACUAGAUUGAAUCAACUAAGUUCUAUUACUAUAGAUAAAGGAGCUUUACUUUGUCUUGAACAUUUUAGAUUUAAUCACAAUCCUCAGUUGAAGGUGGUUCCACAAGACCUUCAACAUUUGAAAAAUCUUAAAUUCCUUGGAUUUGCUGAUAUGCCAGAUGAGUUGGUUGAAAGCAUUGAUCCAGAGAAAGGUGGAGAGUGUCAUUGGAUUGUCAAACAUAUUCCGCUUGUACUAAUUUAGAAGAAAGUAGGAUAAAAGAUUUCAUGAUUAUGAGUUGCGCUCAAUUCCUACUCAAUCCAAUGUCCGACAUAUUAAGGUACUCACCCUUUCCUCUUACCAUGUAAUGCUCUACAUAGCAAUGACAGCUUAGAUAAAAAAUGUGUCUAUGUCCAACAUGUGUCACUGUCUGACUCUGACUUAGAUUUUUAUUGCAUUCAAUCACUUUCAUUUUCUUAAAUUAUUACCAGUGUUUGCAUUUCAGGAUCUUUGUAGUGUUCGGUGUCUGUAUUAGUGUAAGUGAUUCAAAGGUAAUGCUUCUCUUAUGAAUAUUUGAAAUUACAUUAUAACAUGAUUUUUAAUUUUUUUUAUAGCAAAAUUAUAAUAUCUAAGUUGAUUUUGUAUUAUGUACCACUCCUCUGCAUAUCAGGUUGAAUGAAAGUGGCUAUAUAUAUAUUUUUGUUGUGUAUGAUGUUUGUAUUAAUUAAGUUAUUGUUUUUAUAUUUUUUUAUUUUCUCAUGCAUGAGUUUACUUUCUAGCUUCAAUAAGCUCUUUCAUAAACCAUGUAGCAAGAUUGUUUAAUAAGCAUUCAAAAAUUAAGGUCACAACAAGACUAAUUAGCUUGUUGUGUCAUUUGUAUAUAAUGCUCAAACUUGAUUGUUUCCUUUAUCUAUGUGAACAGAUUCAAUUCUCUAAGUUGCAGAUGCACUCUAUCUCUUCAUUCCUUCAUUUGAAUGAAUAUUUUUAAGAUUAAGGUGAAGUUUAUUUUAGCUUCUAGUUUCUAAGUGAUUCUUUUAUAUGAGAUGAAGUCCUAGUUGUAGUAGUUAGUUUAAUCACUCUUAGAUGUUUUGUAAAUAUUAUUACCAAGCUAGUGUUAAAAAGUAUAUAUAAUAACAAAUCUUGUUGUAUUAUAAUCAUAAUAAUAAUAAUUAUAUUCUUGAAAUCAGAUGGAACAAGAGGAAAUGUGAAUUCCACUAACAUUCCAACCGCAAUUGCGGUUACCUUAGUCACAUUUGCUUGCAUUUUGUUGUAAUAUCAAACUUCUCAACUAACUGAACUGCAUCCCCACCACAAUUUAGAACCACUCCCAAGGUAAAAUAUCAUACAAUAUGUUUAUUUGGUUUAAAUUAGACAUUUGUUUUUGUUGUCUCGGGAGUUGGUGUUCAAUUGGUUUGUAUAUAAUUAAUAAUUCUCAAUAAUUUUUUUUAGGUCUUAAUCAUGUGGUUCUCAAGAGAAAAGGGUCUUGAUAGUCUAGAGUUUAACCAGAAGGUAAGUAAAAUAUGACAAAAAAUUAUUUGAGUCGGAAUUCAAACUCGGGUAUAAUUCUCACUGAAUUAGUCGUUGUCUUAAUUGCUUAUUAUUUAGUACUCUACUAGAUAAAUAUGCAUAGUGGUCCAAUGUGAAUUUUUAAAAGCAUAUAUGUAAUGUAAGAAAUGCUAUUAGCAACAACAUAUAAUGUAGUUCUUAGGUUUGCUUACACACAAGUAACAAACAUAUUAGGUUGCUGACUCCAACUUUGAUCAACAUAUAAAUAACACCACAAAUGACAGAAAACAUAAAGUACACAUUCCUUGAUUAUAGUAGAUGAGUUCAAUUCAAGGAAAUUUUAUUAGCUGAAUCAAGCACACAAUUUGUGAGCUGCAACGUGGAGAAUUUGAAUCUGUUCACAUAGACACAGGAAACUAUCAAAAAUUGAACAUGAUACAAAUAACAUAACAAGCUAAUUGGUCUUGUGAACUUAAAUUUUCUAAUGCUGAAUAAACAAUCUUGUUACAUGAUUUUGGAAAGAGCUGAUUGAAGUUAGAAGUAUCACACAUCAAUAAACAUGCAUGACGAAAAUAAAAAAUAAAAUAAAAUGUGAAUUAACACAAACAUCACACUUCACAAAAUCAGAGAUACAAAAAUAUAGCCACUUUCAUUCAACCAUUAUAUGCAUAGGGGUGUUACAUAUACUUGUAAAUAGCCACUAUAGUAUAGCAGAAUUUUAACAAAUUGCUUUAUUUCUGCGACACAAGAUUUAAUACAAAGCAUUGUGAAAUAACAGAUAUAGACUCUAGCACUGUAGUAUAGCGGAAUUCAAACAAACCACUAUUUUUCAUGAUCGGCAAUUGAAAAUAUUGACAUACACAAUCAACAUAAAUAUUGUAAUUUUUUAUCACAACAAAUUGUAAGAUAACUUUUCUUUAUGGUAGAGAUUCUUUGUCAUUAGAAGAAGUACAAGCUGCACUAAUCUCCAAAGAAUUGAAGAGGAUAGUAGCCGGAAAAAUGAAGCAGUUACAGUUGAUUGAUUUUGGAGCACCUUUGCAUUGCCUAGUCAUAACAGGCAAGACCCAUCCCUUGGAGGAAGAAAUGCUGGAUUUUUACAGAUGCAGAACUUAGUUACAACACCAACACCAAAGCUUGUUUUUGCAAAACAUUUUUGUUACCAAACAGAGCCUAAAGUUAUUAUCUUUACUAAAUUAAUAGCGUGUAGUUCUUCGCAAACUUGGCAACGAUGCGUUCCCGCGCCAGGAACCUCUCUCAUCCUCUAACGCUUUGCCCAUUUUGUUUUUGUUGGGCUCCUUUUUGGCAUAUUCUGCAGCAGAAGAGAUGAGUUUUUGUUAGAGAAGCAGAAU